Small nuclear RNA from Heterocephalus glaber (naked mole-rat), 107 nucleotides. NCBI's taxonomy places the organism in Eukaryota, Metazoa, Chordata, Mammalia, Rodentia, Bathyergidae. The record is from Ensembl.
GUGCUCACUUUGGCAGCACAUAUACUAAAAUUGGAAUGAUACAGAGAAGAUUAGCAUGGCCCCUGCACAAGGAUGACACACAAAUUCAUGAAGCAUUCCAUAUUUUU